This 789-nucleotide ribosomal RNA is filed under the name marine metagenome. Its description in RNAcentral is "bacterial SSU rRNA". It matches the Rfam family "Bacterial small subunit ribosomal RNA", at positions 635 to 1425 of the family's 1533-position model. The record is from RNAcentral.
UUUCAGCUAGAGUAUGAUAGAGGAAAGCAGAAUUUCUAGUGUAGAGGUGAAAUUCGUAGAUAUUAGAAAGAAUACCAAUUGCGAAGGCAGCUUUCUGGAUCAUUACUGACACUGAGGAACGAAAGCAUGGGUAGCGAAGAGGAUUAGAUACCCUCGUAGUCCAUGCCGUAAACGAUGUGUGUUAGACGUUGGAAAUUUAUUUUCAGUGUCGCAGCGAAAGCGAUAAACACACCGCCUGGGGAGUACGACCGCAAGGUUAAAACUCAAAUGAAUUGACGGGGACCCGCACAAGUAGUGGAGCAUGUGGUUUAAUUCGAAGAUACGCGCAGAACCUUACCAACACUUGACAUGUUCGUCGCGACUUUAAGAGAUUAAAGUUUUCGGUUCGGCCGGACGAAACACAGGUGCUGCAUGGCUGUCGUCAGCUCGUGUCGUGAGAUGUUGGGUUAAGUCCCGCAACGAGCGCAACCCUCACUUUUAGUUGCCAUCAUUAAGUUGGGCACUCUGAAAGAACUGCCAGUGAUAAGCUGGAGGAAGGUGGGGAUGACGUCAAGUCCUCAUGGCCCUUACGUGUUGGGCUACACACGUGCUACAAUGGUAUCUACAACAGGAAGCAAGACGGCGACGUUUAGCAAAUCCUUAAAAGAUACCUCAGUUCGGAUUGCACUCUGCAACUCGAGUGCAUGAAGCUGGAAUUACUAGUAAUCGUGGAUCAGCGUGCCACGGUGAAUGCGUUCCCGGGUCUUGUACACACCGCCCGUCACACCAUGGGAGUUGGUUCUACCUUAA